UCUGAGUGAGAACCAGCACGAAGCAGGCGAUGAAGAGGCAGCCGUAGAAGUUGGAGCAGAACCCGAUGCUGAUGACGAUGGCGAAAGGGAUGGCCAGGACGCCCACUGCGAUGUCAGCCACCGCUAGCGACACCACGAAGAAGUUGGUGAUGGUCUGCAGGUUGCUGUUGAGGCACACGGCCCAGCAGACCAGCACAUUGCCCAGCACGGAGAACCCGGCGAUCAGCAGUUCCAGGAUGAUGUAAAAGCCGGAGGCGACAGGGUCUUUCGGCAUGGUCCGUCCUCUCACUGUAGUUUCCCACGGACCUCUCUGAGAUGAUGCCAGUAACCCAACUGGAACCUUAUGUCUCCACAGAUAGAGAGGGUCUGACUUCACUGGAACGAUGCGAUAUGAAAUUAUGUGAAAAUACGGGAAUAUCAUGCAGGAUAGGACAAAUGGAUGGAUGGACGGACAGA
Molecule: long non-coding RNA, 456 nt
Organism: Hippoglossus stenolepis (Pacific halibut)
Lineage: Eukaryota; Metazoa; Chordata; Actinopteri; Pleuronectiformes; Pleuronectidae
Exons: 3
Source: RefSeq, a predicted model, not a curated record